GCCAGCAUGGUGCAAUGGUUUUAACAUUGGACUACGACUCCAGAGACUAGGGUUCGAAUCCCGGCUUGGCC
Non-coding RNA from Phrynosoma platyrhinos (Desert horned lizard), 71 nucleotides. The record is from the annotation of a GenBank genome assembly. NCBI's taxonomy places the organism in Eukaryota, Metazoa, Chordata, Lepidosauria, Squamata, Phrynosomatidae.